Long non-coding RNA from Peromyscus californicus insignis, 1043 nucleotides. RefSeq lists it as uncharacterized. NCBI's taxonomy places the organism in Eukaryota, Metazoa, Chordata, Mammalia, Rodentia, Cricetidae. The transcript has 3 exons. The record is from RefSeq and is a predicted model, not a curated record.
GUUCGGUUCAUCACCUGUAUCCCACGCCAAUGACCACUUCAGGCACCACUUCAAUGACAGGUUAUCAGCCCUCAGCUGGGAGCAGCAAUGAGACUGAAGCUCGAAUGUGUACCUCUAAGCAGUGCUGAACACAUCCUGGAAAGUUGGUGUUGAUAUGAACGGUGCACAUCUUCCAGGAUGCCCAGUGGAAGUUCCUGAUCUGGCCUUCUGCAGUGUCACGCUCCGUGUAUUUGACAAGCUGAGUUGGACACUCUGUGUGGUAGAGUGUCAGUUUGUCAAAUACCCCAAGUGUGGCUCAUGCCUGUCAGCUCCAGGCCCAGGACAGAAGAAUAGCCAGCCUGCUGACUAUAUAUGAAUGUUUAUGAAACACCAAGCUCUCUCACGUUACUCUAUGGUUUUUGAGGGAACUAUAACAUUUUGUCAGGGGACAUAGGGGUAAGAAUGAUGCAGCUCUGGGGCCCAAAAAUCUGGGAUAUAUCUAUCUACUUACCUUGUGGGAAUGCCAUGGAAUGCACAAUGGUAUUGAAAAUACAUAAGUGAUACCAGGAAGAAGUGCUAUUUGAUUUAUUAUUAAUGUCUUCUUUUACAUUGCUCUUCUUGCAGCCUGAACACCAGAAUUUUCAUACAAGUAUCAUGACUUUUAUAAGAAAGUAGGACAUAGAAAUCCACGUUCUUGCCCUUGGAGCACAUCUUGACCUUACCUACGUUUUAUCUUUUUCUCUUUGCUUUUCUCCUUCUUAAACCACUCCUCCUGCUUCUCUUUGCACACCCAAUUCUUCCAUGUACUUUCAGACCAUGCCAAAUUCCAAUCGCUCUGGGCAGUUUUGAAAGUCCACCUAGACUUUUCCUUUACUCCUUGACUAGAUACAUUUCCUGCCACCCAACAUAUUCUCCUAAAUUGUCAGUGAAUUGUUCCAGGGUAUAUUCUUGAAUUCCCCAUUACGUUGUAAGAGUCUAGAGUGUAUUAUAUUUACUUGAUUGCUGUCUUUCCUACCAUUGUCCAACAUUUUAAUUUAUUUAAUAAAAGCUAACCAAUUAAUUGA